Molecule: transfer RNA, 68 nt
Filed under: Paralaevicephalus gracilipenis
Lineage: Eukaryota; Metazoa; Arthropoda; Insecta; Hemiptera; Cicadellidae
Description: tRNA-Trp
Source: RNAcentral
GAGACUUUAAGUUAAGACUAAACUAAUAACCUUCAAAGUUAUAUAUAUCUAAGAUUUGAUAAGUCUUA